GGCUGGUCCAAAGGUAGUGAGUUAUCUCAAUCGACUACUCACAGUUUCAGAUCUAACUCCUUGUUCUACUCCUUCCCCUCUUCUUGUACUACACUCAGUCUUUA
Gorilla gorilla gorilla (western lowland gorilla) is the source of this 104-nucleotide unclassified non-coding RNA. It matches the Rfam family "Y RNA". From Rfam's summary of the family: Y RNAs are components of the Ro ribonucleoprotein particle (Ro RNP), in association with Ro60 and La proteins. The Y RNAs and Ro60 and La proteins are well conserved, but the function of the Ro RNP is not known. In humans the RNA component can be one of four small RNAs -- hY1, hY3, hY4 and hY5. Lineage: Eukaryota; Metazoa; Chordata; Mammalia; Primates; Hominidae. The record is from Ensembl.